This is a long non-coding RNA of Panicum virgatum (switchgrass), 3140 nucleotides long. RefSeq lists it as uncharacterized. The record is from RefSeq and is a predicted model, not a curated record. Lineage: Eukaryota; Viridiplantae; Streptophyta; Magnoliopsida; Poales; Poaceae. The transcript is spliced from 2 exons.
CAGUUCGGCUGCUCUGCUCCCAGUCGUGCGUUGACGACCCAAACUUGCAGGUUGUAACAGAAUGUCUGGUGGAUGGAAUUUUUGGGAUGCAAGAGAUAGUAAGGUUGUUUUUUCAAUAAAAAAACUCUUGUAUUUUGUUUGUGGUCAUGACUCUAUAACAGCCGGCCGUAUUUUUAUCGGGUCAUACGGCCGUUCCAACGAACCAUGCGCACGCAGCUCAGGUGUGUCUGAAAUACCAGUCCCACUCCCACAUGGGUUCUCUCGGAGUCGUUCUCAGCCUCUCAAGUCUGUUCAUUUUGUUCUCAUCCCCCCUCUCUCUAGGGUUCCUUUCUCUCCUCUCGCAUUCAGAUCCCCGGUGGCGGCGGCAUGCACUCCCGGAUCAUGCACCCCCCCCCCCCCGGCGUUAUAGGGAUGGGCAGCGCAGAUUAGGCCCAGAGGUCGUGGCGUUCAGGGUGUGCCUGGUGGCGGCGCCAGUGCAGCAAGAACCCGUGCUGGGGUUCAACUUCAGUGUAUGGUUGCAGCGCUGGGUUUCACUGAUCGAGGCGGAUAGCAGCGGCUCGUCUUCUGGCUCUGACCAAGAGAUGAGCUCAGUUGAAGAAGAAAUUGAAGAGAGGACGAGUCUCUGCAAUCAGCUGCUACCUAGUGAUCGCAGAUUCAGACACUAAACAUCUGACAUCUUCUGAUUAUUAAUCUGCUCUUUGAUCAACUGAAAACUGAGUAAUGUGGUAUAUCAACCUCUCAUUUUUUUCCCUCGACAGGAAACGAUACAUUUUAGUAUAUGGCAUUUUACUUCGUUAGGAAAUAAAAAUGAUCAGGAACUUUAGAAAUAAAUAUGAUUCUACAUUAUCCAAAAUAAUGUACUUCAUUAGGCAUUAAUAUGGUUUUGAUUAGGCAAUAAUAUAGUUCUUAACCAGGCAAAAUAGUUUACUUCAUUAGGCAAUGUUUAAUUUAGAAUUUAUUUUUAUUUUUAUUGGUUGCCUAAAGUACAAGAUAAUAUACAACUAUCAGCACUGGUAUUUAACACAGAACCUAGUUCCUUAGCCUAACCACCAUAUGGGAGUUAAUGCUAUGUGUGCAGUCAUCUUGAGAGUACAUAGUCAAAAUUUAUUAGGCUAUAAUAUGGGCUAAUUUAGGCAGUUAUGUGGUUCUUAAUUAGGAAAUAAUAUGGCGCUGAAAAGGUAACAAACCUAAUUAGACAGCAGCAACACCGGAGCAUUUUUUUUUACAUGCACCGAAAGCAACUAAAUCUGAAUCGUCAGGCAAUAAUGUACUGUUAAACAGGCCGACUACUUUAUUUUUUUAGACAUUUCAUGUAUGUCAACUUUUUAUAGUUUGUUUAGCAUCAUAAUCAAUCUAAAUUUUUAUCUGCAUUCAAUCAGGCUCUACAACAAUGGAUUCAAAUCAGUUUCUACAUCAAGAGAUUCAACAGUGGAUGCUAGCCCAUCACUGGUCGUGGUGCCGGUCUGCGCUAGGUCGCUGGACGCUCCUCCCCCGCCUGGAUCCGCGCGCUCCCGAGUUGUGGUCGUCUUCCCUGCUCGCAACCUGACCCCCUGGGCACGCGUGCUUCUUGUUGGAGUGCGUUGGCUUUCCAGGCAGCAGCCAUCCCACCACUGGUCACGGUCAGAGAGGGCCGGAUCCGCCGCCCCUAGGUGUGGAUCUAUGCAUCCUAGCCUAGGGGCUACUCCCCCAUUGAUUUUUGACUGCAGCCUGACGACAUCUUUGUCUAGGUGGGCGAUUUUGGGCUUGCUCUUCUUUUGUCGGGGGUUUAAUCUUGGGUGGGUGGGUGGUGUAUUCAUGUUGUUAUUAAUUUGGGUUUCAAGAAUGGAGCUUUAGUUUUGGUUUCUGAAUGUGAAAUGGUUAUCUCGUUCUUUUUCACAUCAUCAUAAGCAUUUAAGUACUUUGGAGUAGGUACUUUUGUCAAAUAGUACAAGCAUUUUCAGGAUUUUCCUAUAGAGAAUUAUAUCAAUUACUAAAAGCAUUUCAUUACUUUUCAGUAGGCAAAUACAUCAAAUAUGAGAAGCAUUUCAGCACUUUCCAGUAGGCAAAUACAUCAAAUACUAGAAGUAUUUUCAUAACUAGGUAAUAAUAUUGGUAGGAAUUGGGCAAUAAUAUUGUUCUUGAUAGGCAAUAAUAUGGAUUAAAAUAGGUAUUUUUCUGUAGAAGGUUACAUGCGGCUUUUGCGUGCUCAGCUGUAGAAGCUGAUCAUCAUGAGGCAACUGUUGUAGCAUAAAGUAUUGUAGUAUGGAUAGUUGAUGCACAUGUAGGAGCCGCUGCAUCAGCACAAAUUGUUGUGCUUGUGCCACAGCUGCAAUAGCAUCAUUAGAUGCUAAAUUCAUUUUUUGAUGUCUAUCAAUGUCUAAAAUCUGAUGUUUGCCAUUCCCAUCUUGUGAUUUUACAUGUUCAUUAUGCAUUUUAUUCCUUUUGUUAAAAGCAUUGUAGGUCAUGGCGUGGUCAUGAAGAGAAGCAAAUGUGCAGUCACUAUUGGUGAAUUGCUUGUGAUGUAGUGCAAAUGCACAAAUAUCACAUCAUUAUAUGCAAAUUAGAAUUAAUUGCUUGCAAGAUCAGAAUUUAGUUAUAACCAUUGCAUUUGCAUAUCAUAUAGUUGUGUCUAGAGAAUACAGAUAUUUGAAACUGUUCAUUUUUAGUUUAGCAUUUUGUGUUUUAAUCUAGCAUUUUUUUGUUCAGAGCUGCCAUCUUCUAUUUCUACUGAUUCAAUUAUUGCUUCAUUCUAGAUUCUAGAGGAGGCUUGAAGAUUUGUUUUCUAUAGUUUAGAUGAGAGUCCCUUCAUUGUUCAGAAUGUAUUAUUUUCUGCCUCCAAGUUUCCUCAUCGAAUCGGCGACGUAACAUGUUCUUCAACUUGGAGUUUGGUGGCCUAAAAGUUCAUCCGAUGAUAAUUGGUAGCAGUUUUAGUUGUAGCUCAACCUCAUUUUUUAAUUCUUGAGCAACUUAGUGGUAGUUGUGGCUCUAAUCUUUUUUGUUUCGUCAGUACAAUAGUACAGGCAAUUAGGCAAUCACAUGUAUGUUGGUAGUUUUGAAAUUUUGUUAAGGCUUUGAAUUUAGAUGGGGAUGAAAAAUGCAUUUGUAUUAUAUGUUCUAAUUUGCUUAUUGUUUUACAAAGAUUUGCUUAUCGGAAAGUAAAA